Octopus bimaculoides (California two-spot octopus) is the source of this 15431-nucleotide unclassified non-coding RNA. The record is from RefSeq and is a predicted model, not a curated record. NCBI's taxonomy places the organism in Eukaryota, Metazoa, Mollusca, Cephalopoda, Octopoda, Octopodidae.
AGAUUACAUAUACUCCAUCUCCACCAAUUGUUUAACUACUCGUUAAGGACUGUUUUGAAAAUUAAGUUCUGUUUUAUUAGUGUUUUUAUUUUCGUCUAGAAUUAUAAAUUUGACAGUCUUUCGGCACAUCCUUACUGUAAUCACUGACCUCGAUAUAUUUAGAUCGAUAUAUGUCACUUGGGGCUAUAUAUAUGUCUAGUUCAUGCUAUAUAUAACGCCUAGUUCAUAUAUGUCACUUGGGGCUAUCUGUUUCUAUUGUCAGGAAAAGUGGGUACUCAUAUAUUAAUAAAAAGGGUGGGAACAUUUAGAGGUCGGAAAAAUGUUUAGUGAUGUUUCUUCCGGCGCUUUAGGUUUCAAGUUCAAAUUCUACUGAGGUCUUCGCCUUUGGGAGGCGAUAAAGCAUUAUUGCUGACCUUGUGCCAAAAUUAGAAAGAGUUAUUUAUCAAUAUCAAUAUAUUUCCUAUUUUAAAGAAAUUUGAACAAUAGAUAUAACACCCAAGUCAAAAAGAUUCUCAACGAUUCAACUUCUCUGGUUGACAUUAAGACAUCCACCCCCAAUAGAAUUUUGGAAUCUGCGCAUGAAGAUCAGUAGUAUGGGAUGCAUGUGUCAUGAUUAGAAUUUUUUUAUGGUGUGUAAAUAGGGAGAGAACCCUCAUAUGCAAUUCUGAUAAAAUUCGAAUCAUAAGUAUUCCAGUUCAUUACAGAAAAUAUAACAGAAAAGUCUAAUUUUUCCAUUGCAUGUAACACGGGCAAGUAUAUAUCUCUGCUAGUAUAUAUACAUAUAUAUAUAUAUAAAGAUUGGAAGACAUGGAGGUAAUUGAAAAUGUAGACUACUCCGAGUGGGCGGCUGCUACUGUAUAUAUAUAAAAAAAAGAACAACGAAAUAAAAAUAUGUGUGGAUUUCUCAACUGGUCUUAAUGAUUGUUUAAAAAAUUACAAUUAUCCGCUUCCAAACCCAGAAAAAAUAUUUGCUAAGUACAAUGGUGGGAAAAUUUUUUCCAAGCCGGAUUUGUCAGAGGCCUAAGGAUUGGCAUGAUAACAAAAAAUGCCUGCUCCCACUAACAAAACAACACUACAAGCAUUUUUAGGGUUGGUAUGUUAUUACCAGUUGUACAUACCUAAAAUAUAUGAGCUAAGAGCUCUGUUGAACAAGUUGCUAAAGGACUUGAAAUGGGAUUGGACAAACGAAUGUCAGAAAGCAUUGGAGGAAUUAAAAAAGCAGUUGACAUCAGAGUUAUCUUUAACUCAUUUCGACCCAAACCUGAAAAUAAUUGUGGCAUCGAAUACUAGUGGAUAUGGUAUAGGAGCUGUGAUAUUUCAUAAAUUUAAUGAUGGUAAAAUCAAAGCUAUUGCACAUGCAUCGAGAGUUCUAUUACCAGCAGAAAUAAACUACAGCCAGAUUGCAGUAAAAAAUUCCAUAAAUUCUUACAUGGGAGGAAGUUUACACUGCAAGCAGAUCACCGACUAUUACUAUCUGUUUUUGGUUCGGAAAAGGGUAUCCCCACGCACUCAGCAAACUGCUUACAGCGCUGGGAGACUAGGGGCGUCUGGAGCAAGUUGAUACAUUUUCUCUAGAGAAAAUGCGAAACUACUUUUGGACGAUUUGAUGGUAUCAUUGUAGUGCUGUUAGUAUAAACUUCCCCCUCAUUUGAUUUCAUCGCCGUUGUGAGAAUUUGUCUGCUACCUGCAGACAACAUUGGAAUUUUCCACUUGUUGUUCAUUUAAUGCCUGAUUUUAUACAGUUGCAAAGUUUUGAUGGCAAUUGAUUCUGUGGAACAAUUUUGAGAUCAAAUACCCGUUUUGUCAUCAACCACCACCUGUUUUUAGUUUUCACAUAACAAAGAUUAAAUAGGAAGACUAGAAAUUCUGGCAAUUUAUUUGUUGCACACAAGAAAAUUUUUCAAUUAGAGGAAUCUGCUUCAUAUCUGGAUCUUGUAUUGUUGCUUCUGAAUUGUGGGUUUGUUUCUCAAGUCAUUUGACUGUGGCCAUGCUGGAGCACUGCUGUUUUAGUCAAACAAAUCGACCCCAGGACUUAUUCUUUGUAAGCCUAGUACUUAUUCUAUUGGUCUCUUUUUCCAAACUGCUAAGUUACAGGAACAUAAACACACCAACAUUGGUUGUCAAGCGAUGGUGGGGGGACAAACACAGAUAUACAAACACACACACACACACACACACACACACAUAUACAACGGGCUUCUUUCAGCUUCUGUCUACCAAAUCCACUCAAAACACUUGCCCAGUCAGUAUUACAUUGUUUUGAAACCAAUGCAUUUAGUUCUAUAUAAGAGCAUUUCCAAAGAUUGCAUAAUAAAUGCUUUUGUCUUAUUUACUUUGCACUUUUACCAGUAUGAUUAUCUAUAUUAGAUGAACUGAUUAAUUAAUUAUAUUAAUGAAAGAUGAAUAAAAGGUAUUUAGAAAUUUAUUAAAAAAUAUGAAGCAAAUAUAUUAUUACAUUUAAGGCUCCUAAAAGCCAGAGUGUUGGUGCUAAACCAACAGAGUAAAUAAGUCGUAAUAUUGUUGAAACAAUGAGGGUCCGAAUGCCUGCUGGUCGAGGAACCAUUAUGACUAUGACUAAGGACGCAAACAUGGCUGCCCACACUAAUCCUGAUAGGCGGGAAUCCAGUUCUGGAAUAGAAGACAUUAUAUAAUUAUAAAAAAAUAUUCCUUGAAGGAUAACAAAUGCAACCAUUUAUCAACAAUAUUUAAAUUCUGUUUGUUGAACAGAAAGUUCCUACCUCCCAAAUAAAUUCAGUUUGAUAGGCUUCACACUUUAAAUUUCCAUCUCUACGUCAUAUACCUUUGUUUUUAGAGUAUUAUCUGAGUUAAUUAGGCCACAAGGGUAUUACCCAAUUCUUUCAAACAACUCUUAUUCUUAAUUUUAUGUAACUUAUUUAAAAAACAUUUAAACAUAUAUGAUACAUAUUUACAUGUAGAUGAAUCAGUUUGAUUUAAACUAUUAUUAUUGCCAUUAUUUUUAUAUCCACUUUUUCCAUGCUGACACUCACAACCAUUAGUCAACCUGGUUUUUUGAUAGAUGACACUUGCCCAAAGUGCCAUGCAGUGAAAUAGGACUUGAAACUGCAUGAGUGCAAAGUGAACCUGUUAACCACACAGCCACACCUGCAUCUCUGGCAAUGACUGAAAAUUUAGCAUAUUUUUGAGAAGGAAGUUAAUGGAAUAACUUUACUAAGUUAAUGGAAUAAAAGUUAAGUUGUAACAGAAAUUAAAAUGUUUAAUGUGAACAUACCUUUUGUGGACUGUCCAAAAGGAUAGAAAAAGGCAACUAACAAAUUCAUGAGAACAGCCAGAUUAAAUGAAAUAUUUCCCCAUAGUAGCAUAUGACUACUAAACCAGAAAAGUAAGGAAUUAGCUGAAAUAUAUAUAUGUAUACAAAAACAGGUUAGAAAAUAUAAUUUAACAGAAAUGUGUAAAUACUUCAUAAUUAGCCUUACAAUUUAUUAAACCAGUUGGUUGAAUAAACCAUUAGGCAAAAUAAAUUUUAUAAUAAAUUUGAUUCUGCUUUCAGUAUUGAGUUUCCUCAAUAAAUUUUUUGUUCGUAUCAAGCAUUUCAAUACUCUAUGAAAUACAUAUCAACACUUAAUUCAGUAUCAGUGUGGUCUCAUAUCCAAGUCAUUUAUUUACCGAUAAGUAAUUUGGCAUGAAGUGGCAUCAUCUCAGCUGUCAAGUAAUGUACAAUUUCAUAUUAACUGGUGAUAUUAAGUAUUUUAACAUUAACUAAGUUAGUUGUAAGUUGAAUAAAGAAAACAGAAAUAUAUAGAUAAUAACAAAGACUAUACCACGAAGUUGUUUUUGCCACUUCAUUUCAGCAAACAUAUCUUCAUGUCGCUCAAAGAAAUCAGCUACUUUGCUCCCUUGAUCAUCUCGUUCUGCAGUAUAAUAGACUUUGUUCUUAGUUUCAUCUGUUAAAUAUUCACAUAUCUCAGGGAUCGGAAAAACUAUUCUUUCUAAUGUUCUGUCAUUUCGUACAAUCUAUAAUAAAAUAAAAACAAAAAUAAAACAUAUAAUUACAAUUACUUUGAACAUUAGAGACCAGGUUUCUAAAAUCUUAAAUGGUUUCCAAUCAUUGUAAUUGAGCAAAAAUUUUGCUGCAUCUUAUGUUCCAUCAAAGAAUGCUGUACAUAAAUUGUUAUUAAGUGUAGCUGUGGGAUAAGAAGCUUGCUUUCUAACCACAUAAUUCCAGGUUCAGUCCUAUUGUGUGGCACCUUGGGUAAAUGUCUUCUACUAUAGCUGCCGGCCAACCAGAGCCUUGUGAGUGGAUUUGGUAUGCAGAAACUGAAAGAAGCCUUUUAUAUAUAUAUAUAUAUAUUUGUGUGUGUGUGUGUGUGUGUGUGUCUCUAUGUAUGUGUGUCUUAAAAAUUAAGAAGACCCAAUUGCUUAUGUAAAUACACGUGUAUGAAAGAUAGUUGGUUAAGUUGCAAAGAAUAUUUUUUAUUCAGUAUUGUAGAGUAAAGCUUAAUGCUUAAUUUGUAGCUUUUGACUGAUUAAAAAGAUGUGCAUAUGCAUGUACACAUACAAACAUCAGUAAAGAAAUGUGUAUGUGGUUACUUAACCCAAGAGAAAUAGCAACCAAAUCUUCCUCAAACCAAAUCCUGUUUUAAAAAUGGAUAUAUUGGAUAAUGUAGUUGGGGCACAUUAUUCCUGAAAAUAUCAAAUGGGAUAGAUUUCCUUGAUUAGCGGUCUAUUUGAUGAAAAACCAAUGUAGCUAAACAACUUCAUCAUCAUCAUUUAACGUCCGUUUUCCAUGCUGGCAUGGGUUGGCAUGGUUUGAUGGGAGCUGGCUGAAGAGCUGCCCAGGUUCCAUGUCUGUUUGACAUGAUUUUUACAGCUGGAGGCCCUUCCAAAUGCUAAACACUUUACAGAGUGUACCAGGUGUUUUGACAUAGCACUGGCAUGGGUGAUUUUAUGUGACACUGGUACAGGAGCUUUUUAUGUGGCACCAGAACCCACAAUCCUGCAAGAUAAGGAAAGCUCAGCUGAAGAGGGAUGUAGGGGACAUGCCUGUAUGUGAGGACAACCACAAUUUUACUUUGCUUGACGUGUCUUCUCAAGCACAACAAACCAUCUGGAGUCUCAGUCCCUUGUCAUAAUCUUUCUCACCACUUCAUCCCACGUCUUCCUGGGUCUACCCUUCCACAUGUUCUCUCCACUAUUAGUGAUCGGCACCCCUUCAUGCAAUUGCCUUCAUUCAUAAUAUAAUUUACAAGCCUACUAACCUCAAUUUGUGCUGUAUGUUUAGCAUAAAAAUCUAGGGCUUGAUCUCCAUAGAUAUCUUUACCAGUUGGUUUCAGCAGACUUGCCAGUUCUUUGUUAUGUUGGGAAAGCUGAAAAAGUGAAAGUAUACUUAUUAUUUAAUAUCACAACACCAAAUCUCUACUGCAUCAUUAUAAUUUUAUCUGUUUUUUUUUUUCAUCAACCACACCACAUCAUUGACUGGGUACUAAAAUUUUCCUCUACCUUGUAUAAUCUAAGUUAUCAGAAGGGAACCAUCGUUAAGGAUGUCAUGUCAAAGGGACAGUAAGUUUUUAAUGGUAAGCUGUCUCCACAGCACUAAGUUUCGCAACUAAGGAGAACUUAUCCUAUUGUCCAUACUGACUGGGACUACAUUGCCAGAAGAGGUGGACAAACAGCAUAAGCAAGCCAACUUGGCAGCUGUAUACAAUCAACUCUCAUCUGAUUAAAUUAUAAAUAAGGUGGCAUGAUGAUGAUGAGAAUAGAGAGAGAGAGAGAGAGAGAGAACAUAAAUAUAAAAUAACCUGAUGUGCUAAAAUGAAUAUGUUGUGUCCGACAGCUUUUGGUGAAACUUGCCCAUCUCUAUGCUCUUCUUCAUCAUCAGCAUCACAAUCGAUAACAUCUUCUGAAUGAAAGGUUUCUUUUGCAACUUUUACCUAUGAAAAGCAGAACAAACAUCAUUUUAAUCAGUUUUUGUAUGAUUGAAGAAUUUUGUUUAUAGAAUUAUAGUGAACCUUACAACAUAGUAGUUCCUUUCUGUUUAAUACUGGUUUCUUUUGCUGAGAAUCAAGGUCAACAUAUUUGUAGAUUAGCAGUAAAAUCGAUUUAUUCAAACCCCAUAUGCAAUGAUUCUUUGGAGAUGACAGUUAAAAAAUAAUUCAUAAUAAGUGAUCAAAGAACAGUAGGAUUUCCAAACAAAAUAGGAAAACACCAAACUGGAUACAUUGAUCUAUUUUCAUUAUCUCUUUACAUUUGAUAUUUCAAUUAUUAGGUGUUCAGAAAUAUGCUCUGUCAUUAAGGAAAAUAUUUUCAGUAUGUUUCAACAUGUGUAUUUUUCUCUGCAACUUAAUAUGUAUUGAAUAGUUUUAUGCAUUGAAACAAUUGCUGAAUAAUUUCAAUAAGGUGAUUUACAGAUAAUCAAGAUCUUGUGACUUUUCUGUUCUCAUGCCUCAAAUUAAUUCCAUCCCCGUUAUAUGAGAUUUAAUCUCAAAGCCAGCAACUACUAAAUUGCUCAUCAGUUCUUUCUUAGUUCAGUGUUCUGCUGUGAAGUAGGUCUUCAUCCUUAAAUUUGUUCUGUCAGGUAAAUGUGGCCAGAAAUUUCAUUGUCUUGCUCUAUGUACAACAGUGUAAUAAUGGAAUACAAACUCAUUUCUUCAGCCAAGACGCUGGUAUUAAGCUGAUAUUUUCAUUGUUUGUGAUGCUGUAUAAUGUAGCUCAUAUUUUAAUCAAAGUUUCCUGAAUAAUGUAUAUUAACAUAUCUUGCUUGAUAGAAAGAAUAUUAAUGUCUGGGCUUGAACUCAUGGUCCAACUCUCAACCCCAUCAAUACAUAAAGUUUACUUAAAUAUUUAAUUAAAUUCUUUGUAAUAUAUAACAUUCUGAUUGUCUUGUUUUGAGGACAUUAAACAUUAAUAUGUUAAAGAAACAGUGCCUCUUCAAAUUUAGGACCUACGUACAAAAUAGUAGCACUAAAAUAAUGCUUACUAAAAUAUGUUUAAAGUUUUCUACUUGGCCUCAUAUAUUUUCUGAAAACAAAAAUGCUACUUGGCAAAGAAAGAAAUCAAUGACUGAAUACAGUGUACAGAGUCAGCAGUUGAGAUUUUUAUCCAGUACAAAGUCAUGCCUGAUCAAAUUGCAAAUCAGUUUUAAACCUAUUUCUCUUCUUAUUCAUUUGUAUCAUUGUAUAAUUACAACUGGAUAAUCAUCAUGGGUGUUUCCAUCAAACUUCUGCUAGAUACAGUACUGCAAGCUUGAUUAUAUGGGUAUAACAUUUUAAUCCAUAAAGAUAUUUAAGGAUUUCCUGUACACAUUAAAGCAUUCCUUAGUAAGUGAAAUAAGGAGACAUAUACAUGAGGAUAACUGAAAAAUAAACUAGUUGAAAUGUUGUACACAAACAAUAGGUUAUUGACAUCAACAUUUCUCAAACAUUUAGAAAUAAAAUCCAUAUCUGGAAAAAUUAAAAUGAAACGUGAUAUGCAUAAGAAUACUAUUUUAGAUAUAUUUUAAAACAUUUGCAGUAUGAAUUUCAUCAAGCAAAACAGUAAAUAAAAUGAUAAGAAAAUUGUAGCGAAGGAAUCUUAAGAUAUUAUCAGAAAAUAUUAAAGAAUGCCAUUGAUAAAUGAUGUAUUUAAAAUUCAUGUUAAAAUAUUUUACUGACCAAACAAACACAUAAUUAUCAUAACAAAAUGAAUUAAGCAAUUUUAUCAUAAUAUUGGUAAAAUAAAUAAACAAGAAAACAAAAAAAUAUACUAAUCAAACAUUUAACAACAAAAAUAUUAUUUCAGCAAAGUAUAAAAUCCAAAAGUGGCAGUAUACUUAGUUGGAUUGAUCCCCAAAUAUUACUUGUAUAUUUCACUAACUGUGGUGAGUUGAAAGGCAGAACUGAUUCUUGUAGAAUUUGAAACUACAACUGAGGUUGGACAAAACGCAAUAAACUACUUAGUGAUGCCUUUCUGUUAUAAAACAAAAGAGGGAGAAACACUGCUUACAAUGUCUGUAGAAUCCAGACUCAUGUGACUGAUGUUCUGUUUGAUUUUUAUAAGUUGAUGUCUGGAUGGAAAAUGUGUGAAAACAUUUGAGAAGAUUGUAGCUUUGGGGAGGAAUGACUUCACAGUGUUUAAUGCAGGAUUUGGAUAUUACAAAGAGAAUCAUGUUUCAGAACUUAAUAGGGGUUGUAUGCAACUUGAUAGUUCAGAGGAGCAGAGAUUAGAAACAGUAGACUUGUGGUCAGUUUUUGAUGUGUGUUGGUGAAUGAAAUUUUGCCGGUUAGUUGAAUGACAUUCCAAUGGAUGUAGUCUAGAAUGUUGGAUUGCAGCUACAGUACUAUACCAGAUAUUGAGCAGUCCUCCAAUGUGGUUUUUACUUGAGCUUUGCAGCGGGUCAGCAAUUGAUCACAUUAUUUUCUGUUUCUGAAGCCUAGUCUUUGGGAAGAUAUUUUGAAAUGUUAUAUAUAUGUGAAGUCACACUGUAGAGAGAUCAGAUUGUGAGUUUUAAUGAUUUUGAUUGCUAUGGUUGUUCAUGUACUGUGUGGCUGAAAAAGUGUUCUCUUGACAUUAAUAGCAAUUGUGUCUUGAUAAUGAUGAAGGAGCAUUGAUUGUAACGCUACCAUUGUUUAUAAGAUGCAAUGUCCUCCAUGCAUUUUGAAAAGUGAUAGAGCUUGAAGGCUGUGUGCUACACAAAAUCAUCCUUUGAUUUCCUGAUAGUUACCUUGCAGGAAUUUCAGUGAUGAAUAAAAGUCUUUUAGUUUUGUUGAUAAGUGAGUUCCCCAAAGGGAUGUAGGUAGAAUCUUUUGUCUGUACUGCUGCAGCACAAUUGUGAGCAGGCAAUUUGGGGGUCUGGAGUUGUGGCAUUUCAUUGAGGGAAAGAGGUCAUAUGGAGAGACAGAUUUAAAAGAACAGUUUCAAUCAUGCACUUAGUUCAAAGUCAAAGUAAGACAAGCACAUUUAGUCCCAAGAAUGGCCAGUAUAGAACUUGUGAAGCUCUGGCCAGUUAGCUGAUUUGAAAAAGUAGAGGUUUGUAGGACAGAGAUUGUUGGGUAACAGGGUGAUGUGAUAUGUUUUGCAUUGAUUAGGUAAAGUUUAGAUGAUCCAACAUUGUAGAGAAAAUUGUGGUUAGGUGAAAUCUACAUUUGGAAAGGAUUCUUGGAACUAGUAAUUUUACAGCUACAUUUAAAAAAGCAAAAUGCGAAAUUAAUAGACUAGAAAAUUCAUAUGAAUAUAUACUUAUAAAGAAACAGUCAGAAUAUCAAAUUAAUCAAUUUACAAAGAGAAUAUUAAUAAGUUAAUAAGAUGAAAACAGUACACAGAUCAUAUCAUCAUUAGGCCUGUAAAGUAAAACUUUUGCUUCACUUCAAGAUUAUAUAGUAUGUUUUCUUUUUCCAAAGAUAAAUAAAAAUACAAAUUUGAAAAACAUUGAAUAUUUUUGCCUUUAAAAUAACACUUUAUUAACUUUAAAGCUUAAAGAAUAAAAAAAGAAAGAAAUUAGCAUGGUUUUCUAUAUAUAUCAUCAUCAUCGUUUAAGCAAUGACAUGCAGACUUUCAGAAGGGUAACAGCUCAGUUUAAAGACAUCAAUCCUCACAGCAUUUAAAAAAAUUAUGUUGGCAAUUCACACACACACACAUUAAAAUAAGUUUUCAGUUUUAUGUAUACUGGUUUUUAUCUUGCUCAUCAUAAACAUUAUAGCACUUUUCUGUAUAUACAUUUCAUUCAAAUGUCUUCUUUUCCAUGCUUGCAUGGGUCAGACAAGAGUAUGUUUGGGCAGAGUUUUCUAUGGCUUGAUGUCCUUCCUGUUAUCAACCCCAUUUGUUUCCAAGUGAGGUAUUAAUCUCCCAGUCUAUCAAACAAUGAAUAGCAUGAAUAUGUCUAACCGGAAAACUAGAAACAACUGACACCAGAUGGACAAGCCUUUUGUUCACGAAGGUCAUUUAACAUGACAAGGCAUGUCAAGAAACUCAGAUGUGCUUUCAUAGUGGACUGCAAGCAAAUGACACUGCUAGCAAAGCCAUUGUUUACAAUCAAUGAACAAAUGUGUUCAGAUGAGAAAAUAUGAAUUCACACACAUACACACAUAUACACUAGGUUUCUUUCAGUUUCCAUUUACAAAACCCACUCACAAGACUUUGGUCAGUAUGGAGCUAUAGUAGAAGACACUAGCUCAUGAUGCCACAUUAGAAGACUGAACUCAAAACCAUGUAGUUAGGAAGCACUCUCUUUAACUACACAGCCAUGUGCACCUAUAUAAAUUAGAAAUUUAAAGAAAUAUACUGUGAGCUAUUUAAUAUGAGAGUCACAGCUCUCAUGUAGCAAUAAAAAAAAUGUUGAUCCUUAUCACAAAAUACAAAUGUAAAUAUUAGAGCCUUCUUUAUCUAUGACAAAAUCCAUACUGAAUAAUACAGAAACCAAUAUAAUUUAGUAAAUCAAAAUACCAUUCUCCUGCACUUAAAAUUUUUCCUGUACUUGAAAAUAUUCAUCACUUUUUCAUUGUCAACAAGGAUUCUUUUCCCAAUGUUAAGAAUUAUGACAUCUUGUUUUCUACUAGUCAGAUACAUUGUUUAGUUUAAAUGGAUUAAAUACAUUCUGAGGUAUUAGUCAAUGUCAGACAAGUUACAAUGUUUCUGUUAUUACCAGGAUGAUACAUAUGUAUUAUAAAUAUAUAUUCAAACAUUUUUGUCAUUAUUUUUCUUUGGUGAGGCAGCACCUAUUUGAUUAUGAAAAUAAUAAAUCUAAUCAAGCAGGCUAUUUAUUACAUGAAUUUCAGAGAUUGGCUUCUUUGUAGUUCAUGAAAAUUUUGAAAGCUGAAUUCUUAUUUAGUCCCAUCACUCUCAUGUAAUCAUAAUAAUUUGUAAAGUAGACACAUAACCAAACAUGAUUAAUAAAAGGUGACAGUAAGAGUAUUAUCCAGGGAAGAAGGGUCCAUUGUAGUUGUCAUCCCUGUGAAAGAGUUGCAUCAUUUUGUAAUAAAUAAUCUAAAUAUCUUUAUUCACUUUUAAUGAAAACCAUAUUGUUUUUAGAAUUAAUUUCAAAUGUAAAAGUCAUAUGUUGUUUAAUCAAUUAUUAACUAACUUAAAAACAUUCAUUAAUUUUAGUUUUUGCACAUUGGUGAAUCAAGUUGGACAACUUGCAUAUUUUUUGAUUGAGCAGUAAUGGAACCAAUAGCUGAGAAACAAAAGCUAAUAGAAUAUAUAUUCGAAGUAUAUAUUUAAAUUUUGAAUAAAGGGGCACUUUUGAAAUGAAAAAAAAAAAAAACCCAACAAAAAACCCAGACUGAUGCCCCUACCCCUGUGUGUGUGUGCCUGUAUAGAAGAAAAAACAAAAAAAAAAACAAAAAAAAAAUUCAUCCUGUGAGAAUAAUAAACUGCAUUCUUAGUACUUGGCUAGACAUACAAAUUAGCAACUCUACAUCAAUAUCUUUAGCACUUAAUACAUUACCCUCAGGACUGUUGUAUAACUGAACAUACUAAUUGAAGAUCAUGUAAACCAACACUAGUUAAACAAGGAAUAUAAAGCAUUGUACAAAAUUUGUGAAAUGAAACUUUCUUGUAGUCCUCCUUUCUAGGACUAAUAAAUUAAAGAAAUGAGCAUAUGAACUAAAGACAUACUCAACUAUAGAAUCUAAUCAAAGACUUUCUCUUCAUUCUAAAUUAGUCAAAUAUAUGUAAAAUACAUUUAUCCCUUCACAAAAUACCAAAUGAUAUAUUUUGAAUAAAUGUUCCUCUAAAUAACUCUGACAAAUCAUACCAAGAUCAGUUCUGUAUAGGUCACCUGACUGAUCAGCAAAGAUUACCUCACCAUCAUGCCUCAAACAUUACACAGAUACACUGUUUAUUCUCUCUCUCUCUCUGACCAUCCUUAAAUAUUUUCUACUGUAAACUGAUACCUAACUGAAACUUCUAAUAUCAGCCAGGGUCCACAUGGGAAUCAGUGUAAAGGCUGUACUCUCCUGAAUGUUAACUACUUUUUUACCUUCAUGCUAUUUUAUCAACACUUAUCCAAUCCUAAGUCUCUGCCUUUUCAAGGUACCAUCUCUUUUGACUACCAACUACUAAAAUGUUCUGUUUUAAUCAUACCAACUAAUGAUGUUCAAAGUUCUCAGCCACUUUCUCACAUGACACAGCAUCCAGGUCUCUUAGUUUCAAGCAACUAAUAUAACAAAACCAUUCUUUAAAGAUUCUUAUGUUACAUUUGAAUGGAUCCUACUCUUAAAAUAUUUAUAAUAGGGAGUAACUGUAGUCUUUUAUAAGCUUUGUAACAACUGAACAGAAAAUAUUAAGGUUCAGUAAUAUAUUUUGGUAAUAUUUUGAUUACUGAGCUGAAGACUUUCAUUUGUAGUCUUUAGUUUAACACUUCAGUAGGCCAAACUCUUAAAAGUUUUAUUACCAAUACAUGUUAGAGAGAUUUUCUAGCUUACAGUAAAAUGAAAAGAAAAGAAACAAUCAUAAACUGUUGUCACUCUUACAUUAUGUUACAUGAGAAAUAAAACUGAUUAAAUCUAAAUUAAAUCUUGAAUUCUUCAAAUAAUGUUUUGGAAAUUUAAUUAACAACUAACAAUGGUAUUUGUUCUAACUAAAAGUUUGAUCUCAUCUGAUAAGACUUUUCUUUCAAAGAGAACUCUUAGUAUUUUAAAAUUACAUUAUGGAAGAGUCAUUCUGACCAUUUAAAAACAUACAAAAACUAUUAUUUUAAAUUUCACAGUUGUUUGACAAAAAUUUUGACAUUUCAUAAAUGUAAAUCAAAAGUGAAUUUAACAGUUUUUUGUGUGAUAACAAAUGGUUAAAAUGACUCUUCUAUGAUGUACUUACUGCAGUUUCAACACAGACUCACUUGCUAGACAAGUACAACUCCAAAAUAUUAAGAUUUAAUGUAGCAGCUUAAUUCAUAAUAGACUAAUAUUAAAAGCAUAGCAUAUUUUUCUAAAACUUUCAAGACAGCAAGCAACUAGCCAACUCUAUGCUCAUUCCUGUAAGCAACAAUUAUUUACAAACUAAAUUUUGUUAAAAUGAGUUAAAAGAAAAGUUAUCCAAAUGAAUCGUGCUUAAAACUAUAUUCUAACAGCAUUCCUAUUUUAAGGCUUCUAUAAAACUUACUGGACAUAAACAGGAGGAGUAUUAAUCUUCUCUACAUCACUGCAUCAAAUCUUGCAAAAAAGACUUAUCCAAAUAUAAUAGGUAAAAUUAUUCUCCCAUAUAUAUAUAUCCAAUAAAUCUUCCAGAAGUCUUAGCAAACAUAAAAGAUGAUGUUUCAUAUCAGUAUAGAAACAAAUCCUUCAAAUUUGUAAUUUGUAAAUGAUCUUUAAAAAAUUAAAUCCAGAUAAAUCCAAAACUGGAUUUAAAAAAAGCAAAAAGAUAAAAAUGUUAGAUGACUGAUAAACUUCUAUAAAUACUUGAUCUGAUGCCACAAAAAAAUUCCUGUGAAUCUCUGUAGAAAUAUCAGAAUGGCUGUGUUAUCAGAUCUGCUAAAGAAUAUCUAAUACAAGACAUUAAGGAUAAUGUAGUUGUAAAGAAAUAAAAUUGACAAACUGAAAAAUAUAAUCUAUUGAAAUACAUAAAAAAGUUUAAAAGAAGGAAAACAACAAAAUUUCUAGUAUAAUUCAUAGAAAUGUCUAGAAAAUGUUGAAAACAACCAGCUGAAAAACAAAAUAUUUUGCUAAACCUUUUCUGAUUUCAAUAUAAAAGCAAACUAUCUAUUUAGCAAUGAACAUCAGAUCACUUGAAACUUGGCAGUAAAAGAGACACUGGCAGAAAAAAGAAACCAGGAAAAUAUGGUUCUUGACUUUAAGCAGAAGCAUGCAGUCUCUACAAGUAACUCAUUCAAAGAAAGUAAAAUGGAAAAGCUGGCAAACAAUAAAAUUUGAGGCAAGAAUCUUUUAGCAGUGGCACCUCAGGUUUGUGUGAGUUUUCAUCCAGGAUGUCCUGCCUAAACACCAUAACAAUAGCAGCAACCUGCAAGAAUGCAGUUUUGAGAAGCAUCAGCAAACAUCAAUUAGUGAGAAGAUGUAAAGGCAGACACAGGCAAACUGUGAAAACAAAUGGAUGAUACAAACUGAUACCAUAUGUAUGGCAGUGGGAUGAAAAAAAAAAAAAAAGGAUUAAGGACAAUCUUGAGAAAUCAUAAGAAGCAGAUUUGCUUUCAUUUUGUAUGGAUUACCAAGAAAAUAAUUUAUUGACAAAAAGUGGAAAAUAAAUUAAUGGGAAUGUAAAAUUUAACUGAAAAAGUACUUAUGACAAAAGUAGAGCAAGAAAGGAAAAUAAAGAUAAAUAUGAUAUGAAUAUUUACAUGUGAAAGAAAUAUAUUCAGUAUGGCAGCCAGUAGAUGUAAGCAAAGAGGUGGAAAUUUUCAAAAUAGUUAUGUGAAAAGGAAAAAAAAUUGGACAUAAAGAGAACUGAGAAGAAAGAAGAAUCAUGCAUGAAGGCCACAGAAAUACAACAACAAAGAGAAAUAAGCCUGGGUUAGCAACAUCAUAUUUCCUUAAUAACUUUUUCUGAGAUAGAAACAUCUGAAACUGAAUUAUAAGGAUUUGGACACUGACAGACCUUUAUGAUACUUUCAAAGUCCAGCAUUAAAUUUAGCUUAAUGCUGUUAUUAAACUUACCAGAUAGGAAACUUGUCUAUUAUGUAAAUAUGUAAUAUUCUACUGAAAAUCCAUAAUAUUUAAAUGAUUAUUAUUGAAGAAAAUAAGUGAGGCAGUCAGCAUUUCCAGCUUGGGAAGAACAAAGUACCACUAAGAAUCUAAUUUCAAUUCAGAUAAAGUAUUAGUAUUUGGAAGCUAAAAAGGUUAAAGUAUAUCUUGAUAAAUAUCAAUUUAUGGUUGUAAUGUUUGUGUUAAGGAACAAAUAAACAUUGAUUAAGAAAGUUUACAUAAAUAUUAUCAUAGUUUUAUCCUUGCCUUUUGAAAUCUUUAUGUUUUUUAUUUUUUUCAAAAUUGAUACUUUGAAUUGAUGCUGUCUCAAAUAAUUUACCUAUUUCAUCACUUUAUCAGGUGAAAUACAAAAAUGAGGACAAUUGUAAUUUCAGUCGCACACAUUUAUUACAACGCAAAAAAUUAAACAAGCACAAUGCUGUUACUGCUCCCACCACCAGCACCACCACCAAAAUCACUGCUGUCAUCUUUAUCAUCUCUAUCUGUGUCAAUAAUUCAUGAAAUAAUACUUAAAAAUCAUUUUAAAUUCAUAAGAAAAAAUCAUUUUUAAUGUUUUGAAGAAAAUGAUAUAAGUGUGUUGCCCUUAAAUCCAAUCAACUUCUCCACUGAACUAUUGAUAAUUUUAUUUAGUUGGUAUCUUAUUCAUUCUGAAAUUGUAUCUGUUAAUUCAAAAGUAAUGCUGAUAUCAAACUUAUUCAGACCUUCAUUAGAUAUAUGAAGAGAGAGCAAGUCCAUAGCUACAGAUAUCCACAAAAUUAGGAGAAAUAUAGAUAUUAUUCCAGAAUUAGUGAUAUAAGUUCAGCAUAUCUAAGGCAUACUUACAAG